GAGGGGGACAACAGUUGGAAACGACUGCUAAUACCGCAUACGAUCUAAUCUCGGCAUCGAGGAUGGAUGAAAGGUGGCCUCUAUUUAUAAGCUAUCGCUGAAGGAGGGGAUUGCGUCUGAUUAGCUAGUUGGAGGGGUAACGGCCCACCAAGGCGAUGAUCAGUAGCCGGUCUGAGAGGAUGAACGGCCACAUUGGGACUGAGACACGGCCCAG
Molecule: ribosomal RNA, 214 nt
Filed under: uncultured bacterium
Lineage: Bacteria
Description: partial 16S ribosomal RNA
Rfam family: Bacterial small subunit ribosomal RNA
Source: RNAcentral